UUUUGCAUAAAAAAUUCACUUAUUUUGGGUUUUUGCAAAACCGGGCCACCUUUUUCGUUUUUGCAGAUUCGGUCCACUUUUUCAGCAAACUGACCAAAAUACCCUUAUAUAUUUUUCUCUCUCCUCUUUUUUUUCUCCUCCUUUCUUCGAUCCCGUCGCCGCGAACCCCAGCCCUAGACCGACUCCCCCUCUCCCCCUCGCCUCCUCGUCCUCGGCCCCACCCCUACCGCCUUCGCCGCCGCCGCCGCCAACGUAGGAGGAGCGACAGCGUUGGUG
RNAcentral lists this long non-coding RNA (276 nucleotides) under Ananas comosus (pineapple). RNAcentral describes it as "long non-coding RNA (ACOM_LNC024892)". Lineage: Eukaryota; Viridiplantae; Streptophyta; Magnoliopsida; Poales; Bromeliaceae. The record is from RNAcentral.